Non-coding RNA from Ancylostoma duodenale, 111 nucleotides. NCBI's taxonomy places the organism in Eukaryota, Metazoa, Nematoda, Chromadorea, Rhabditida, Ancylostomatidae. The record is from Rfam.
GGUUUUAACCCAGUAUCACAAGGUACUACGGGGAUUCUGACCUGCCAGGUGUGGCUGCGUCAAAAACCUCAAUUUUUGGACAGCCUUUCCGGGGAUAUCCGGGAGGGCAAA